AAUCAACGCUGGCGGCGUGCCUCAGACAUGCAAGUCGUACGAUUAAACUUUCCUUCGGGAAAGAUAUAGAGUGGCGCACGGGUGAGUAACACGUAAGUAAUCUACCUUUGGGUGGGAAUAACAACCGGAAACGGUUGCUAAUACCGCAUAAUGCAGCGGCUCGACAUCGAGACAGUUGUUAAAGCAUUUAUGCGCCUGAAGAGGAGCUUGCGGCGGAUUAGCUAGNGGUAAGGUAAUGGCUUACCAAGGCAACGAUCUGUAGCCGACCUGAGAGGGUGGUCGGUCACACUGACACUGAAUAACGGGUCAGACUCCUACGGGAGGCAGCAGUCGGGAAUUUGGGCAAUGGGCGAAAGCCUGACCCAGCAACGCCGCGUGAAGGAUGAAGUAUUUCGGUAU
Molecule: ribosomal RNA, 399 nt
Filed under: uncultured bacterium
Lineage: Bacteria
Description: bacterial SSU rRNA
Rfam family: Bacterial small subunit ribosomal RNA
Source: RNAcentral